UAGAAGACAUCUGAAAGAGAUUAAAGAUUUAUCGGUGAUGGAUGGGGAUGCGUCUGAUUAGCUUGUUGGCGGGGUAACGGCCCACCAAGGCGACGAUCAGUAGGGGUUCUGAGAGGAAGGUCCCCCACAUUGGAACUGAGACACGGUCCAAACUCCUACGGGAGGCAGCAGUGAGGAAUAUUGGUCAAUGGACGAGAGUCUGAACCAGCCAAGUAGCGUGCAGGAUGACGGCCCUAUGGGUUGUAAACUGCUUUUAUAAGGGAAUAAAGUGAGAGUCGUGACUCUUUUUGCAUGUACCUUAUGAAUAAGGACCGGCUAAUUCCGUGCCAGCAGCCGCGGUAAUACGGAAGGUCCGGGCGUUAUCCGGAUUUAUUGGGUUUAAAGGGAGCGUAGGCCGGAGAUUAAGCGUGUUGUGAAAUGUAGACGCUCAACGUCUGCACUGCAGCGCGAACUGGUUUCCUUGAGUACGCACAAAGUGGGCGGAAUUCGUGGUGUAGCGGUGAAAUGCUUAGAUAUCACGAAGAACUCCGAUUGCGAAGGCAGCUCACUGGAGCGCAACUGACGCUGAAGCUCGAAAGUGCGGGUAUCGAACAGGAUUAGAUACCCUGGUAGUCCGCACGGUAAACGAUGGAUGCCCGCUGUUGGUCUGAAUAGGUCCGCGGCCAAGCGAAAGCAUUAAGCAUCC
This 685-nucleotide ribosomal RNA is filed under the name uncultured bacterium. Its description in RNAcentral is "bacterial SSU rRNA". It matches the Rfam family "Bacterial small subunit ribosomal RNA", at positions 183 to 869 of the family's 1533-position model. The record is from RNAcentral.